GGGUGUAAUACUCCAGAAAUUCUUGCCAACCAUUUUGUAACCAAACCUCACCAUCACAUUUGGUGAGCUCCACUUUCCAUAUUCUACCGCUAGGCACUUGAAGGAGCGCAGGACUUUUCAGAUCUUUUCCAUACUUUCUUACAAACCUCCUUGGAAUACCCUACUCAAUUCUUCUCCUCUCCCAUCUCAUUCAUUAGCAGGCAGAGAAAUAAUCCGUCAUCAACUUAGAUAUCUGCACAUUAAAAUUGUGGUUAAAGAGAAAAUAAUUAGAUAGGUUUACCACUUGUCUGCUACAAUCAAAAUGCUUUUCAUUUCUUUAUUUUAAACUAAAAUUACAAUUAUCAGAUUAAAAGUGGG
This 357-nucleotide unclassified non-coding RNA is filed under the name Hevea brasiliensis (rubber tree). Lineage: Eukaryota; Viridiplantae; Streptophyta; Magnoliopsida; Malpighiales; Euphorbiaceae. The record is from RNAcentral.